UCAUCAGUUCACCGAAGUGAUUUUGGCACUAUAUGUGUACAAUAAGCAACAGCGGGGACCAAACUAUCCAGCUCAUCACAACACUUCGAGAAGAAGAAUGGUUUUCAAUGCAAGUAGCUGACUACACAGAUUGGAGUUGGAUGCUUUUCUUGGUCUGUUCAUUGAUUUCAUCGAUACUCAUUGUCUGUCUAGUUUUGAGGCGAUAUUGCUUCCAUUCAUACGGCUGACUACCUCAAUUGUAAACAAGCAAACCUAAUUUUUACAUACAAGAAGUAGAGUACGUAAUAGAGUGCAGGGAGAAUUUAUAUGAAGCUGCCUUCGUUACAAGAUACCGCACGGAUGUUCAUUCAAAAGAACUACGAGGAUUUUCUCUGAAAAGA
This 380-nucleotide long non-coding RNA is filed under the name Bemisia tabaci. RNAcentral's name for it is "lncRNA ENSSWEETPG011869". Lineage: Eukaryota; Metazoa; Arthropoda; Insecta; Hemiptera; Aleyrodidae. The record is from RNAcentral.